Molecule: ribosomal RNA, 274 nt
Filed under: uncultured bacterium
Lineage: Bacteria
Description: partial 16S ribosomal RNA
Rfam family: Bacterial small subunit ribosomal RNA
Source: RNAcentral
AUACGGAGGGUGCAAGCGUUAUUCGGAAUCACUGGGCGUAAAGGACGCGUAGGCGGGUUGGCAAGUCAGAUGUGAAAUCCUACAGCUUAACUGUAGAACUGCAUUUGAAACUGCUAACCUAGAGUAUGGGAGAGGGAGAUGGAAUUAGUGGUGUAGGGGUAAAAUCCGUAGAUAUCACUAGGAAUACCGAAAGCGAAGGCGAUCUCCUGGAACAUAACUGACGCUAAGGCGUGAAAGCGUGGGGAGCAAACGGGAUUAGAAACCCCAGUAGUCC